GUUUCCGUAGUGUAGUGGUUAUCACGUUUGUCUCACACGCAAAAGGUCUCUAGUUCGAAAAUGGGCGGAAACA
RNAcentral lists this transfer RNA (73 nucleotides) under Danio rerio (zebrafish). It matches the Rfam family "tRNA". From Rfam's summary of the family: Transfer RNA (tRNA) molecules are approximately 80 nucleotides in length. The record is from Rfam by way of RNAcentral. Lineage: Eukaryota; Metazoa; Chordata; Actinopteri; Cypriniformes; Danionidae.